GUAGUUCCUCCGCCGGAGCGGGACCUCCGGUGCCCCGGGCCAGGGAUGUGAGAAAGAAGCGAGCCCUCGAGUUUCCUCGGGGCAUGUGGGAAGGUUUUUUUCAGGAUCCAGGCAGAACCUUACAGAGCUGGGAGUUUUUUAACUUUCCAUUCCUGGCAGUGACGCCAGGAGCUUUAAGUGAUGGAAAUAUGCGAGUCAAUCAGUGGAUGGUGUUAGUACUGUUUUCUCUUAUGAAGAUCAAGCCUGCCCUUCGGGUCUACUUCCACCUUUUCCCCCUGCCCGUCUCCCACCGUCUCCCUCCUCUCCACUGGCUCUCAGAAGCCGGACAGCCUGUGUUCAACUUGCCUCCACGGAGUGGUUGUGUGACCUUGAUGAAGCACGCAACUUCUCUGCCUCAGUUUCCUUAUCUGUAACAUAGGGAUAGAAUAGUACCCGCCUUGUAGGGUUAUUUGAGGAUGAAAGGAGUUAAGUCUCGUGAAAACGCUCUUUCACAUAUAACUGCUCAAUUAAAUAUUAAAUACCAUACUCCUCUCCCACCAGGGCUCUCCCAAACAAAAUGAUAGACAGGAACAAAGGAACAGUAAAUGGAGUAACUUGGCUAGAAUAUGGCAGUAACUACAAGGCAUGUUCUGCUCUGGCACGAAGGUAACCACCACUCAUACCUCUCCAGCCCUGUGAAUACGUCAAUUGACUAAGCAGAUUCCUUGAGGAUAAAGUAGGCUCCUGGGGACCUUGCUUGUUGGGCUACUUGCUUUGUGGAUGUUAAACAGAUAAUUCUCAUGAGUUUGAGUGACGUCUGAUCUACCAGUAUUCCCCCUACUCUGAUUAGAAAUGACUUGACCAUGCCAAAAAGAAUAAAAGACAGCUCUGAUACAAAUGUAGCCAUUUUAAUGUGACUCCCUCUAGAUCCAAGGAAGCCAGUACUUACGAACAUUUUCAGAGUCAAUACUUACUGUACUGUACCAUAGUCGAGGAAAAGGGUAUUUUUCCUAACUCUCCUGGAGUAGCACAUCCCAAGAUCUCAACUUUCCAAAACCUGGAUCAACUAUAUUUCUUUUCUUUCUCCAGCCACCACUCCCCUAGCCUGUUCAACUACAGCUAUGUUACCUGAACUGCUUUCCACUCUUUCCCAUAAAUGUAAUGAUUAGAACACUAA
Molecule: long non-coding RNA, 1156 nt
Filed under: Homo sapiens (human)
Lineage: Eukaryota; Metazoa; Chordata; Mammalia; Primates; Hominidae
Description: cytoplasmatic differentiation associated epidermal RNA
Source: RNAcentral